CGAACGCUGGCGGCGUGCUUAACACAUGCAAGUCGAACGGUGAAGCGCCUUCCUUUUUGGUGGGUGUGGAUGAGUGGCGAACGGGUGAGUAACACGUGAGUAACCUGCCCCCUUCUUCUGGAUAACCGCAUGAAAGUGUGGCUAAUACGGGAUAUUCUGGGUCUGUCGCAUGAUGGGUCUGGGAAAGAUAUUGUUUCGGUGGGGGAUGGGCUCGCGGCCUAUCAGCUUGUUGGUGGGGUGAUGGCCUACCAAGGCGGUGACGGGUAGCCGGCCUGAGAGGGUGGACGGUCACACUGGGACUGAGACACGGCCCAGACUCCUACGGGAGGCAGCAGUGGGGAAUAUUGCACAAUGGGCGCAAGCCUGAUGCAGCGACGCCGCGUGAGGGAUGGAGGCCGUCGGGUUGUGAACCUCUUUCGCCAGUGAAGCAGGCCUGCCUCGUUUGUGGGUGGGUUGACGGUAGCUGGAUAAGAAGCGCCGGCUAACUACGUG
Molecule: ribosomal RNA, 492 nt
Filed under: uncultured bacterium
Lineage: Bacteria
Description: partial 16S ribosomal RNA
Rfam family: Bacterial small subunit ribosomal RNA
Source: RNAcentral